CGAAUGCUGACAUAAGUAACGAUAAAGCGGGUGAAAAGCCCGCUCGCCGGAAGACCAAGGGUUCCUGUCCAACGUUAAUCGGGGCAGGGUGAGUCGACCCCUAAGGCGAGGCCGAAAGGCGUAGUCGAUGGGAAACAGGUUAAUAUUCCUGUACUUGGUGUUACUGCGAAGGGGGGACGGAGAAGGCUAUGUUGGCCGGGCGACGGUUGUCCCGGUUUAAGCGUGUAGGCUGGUUUUCCAGGCAAAUCCGGAAAAUCAAGGCUGAGGCGUGAUGACGAGGCACUACGGUGCUGAAGCAACAAAUGCCCUGCUUCCAGGAAAAGCCUCUAAGCAUCAGGUAACAUCAAAUCGUACCCCAAACCGACACAGGUGGUCAGGUAGAGAAUACCAAGGCGCUUGAGAGAACUCGGGUGAAGGAACUAGGCAAAAUGGUGCCGUAACUUCGGGAGAAGGCACGCUGAUAUGUAGGUGAAGUCCCUCGCGGAUGGAGCUGAAAUCAGUCGAAGAUACCAGCUGGCUGCAACUGUUUAUUAAAAACACAGCACUGUGCAAACACGAAAGUGGACGUAUACGGUGUGACGCCUGCCCGGUGCCGGAAGGUUAAUUGAUGGGGUUAGCGCAAGCGAAGCUCUUGAUCGAAGCCCCGGUAAACGGCGGCCGUAACUAUAACGGUCCUAAGGUAGCGAAAUUCCUUGUCGGGUAAGUUCCGACCUGCACGAAUGGCGUAAUGAUGGCCAGGCUGUCUCCACCCGAGACUCAGUGAAAUUGAACUCGCUGUGAAGAUGCAGUGUACCCGCGGCAAGACGGAAAGACCCCGUGAACCUUUACUAUAGCUUGACACUGAACAUUGAGCCUUGAUGUGUAGGAUAGGUGGGAGGCUUUGAAGUGUGGACGCCAGUCUGCAUGGAGCCGACCUUGAAAUACCACCCUUUAAUGUUUGAUGUUCUAACGUGGACCCGUAAUCCGGGUUGCGGACAGUGUCUGGUGGGUAGUUUGACUGGGGCGGUCUCCUCCUAAAGAGUAACGGAGGAGCACGAAGGUUGGCUAAUCCUGGUCGGACAUCAGGAGGUUAGUGCAAUGGCAUAAGCCAGCUUGACUGCGAGCGUGACGGCGCGAGCAGGUGCGAAAGCAGGUCAUAGUGAUCCGGUGGUUCUGAAUGGAAGGGCCAUCGCUCAACGGAUAAAAGGUACUCCGGGGAUAACAGGCUGAUACCGCCCAAGAGUUCAUAUCGACGGCGGUGUUUGGCACCUCGAUGUCGGCUCAUCACAUCCUGGGGCUGAAGUAGGUCCCAAGGGUAUGGCUGUUCGCCAUUUAAAGUGGUACGCGAGCUGGGUUUAGAACGUCGUGAGACAGUUCGGUCCCUAUCUGCCGUGGGCGCUGGAGAACUGAGGGGGGCUGCUCCUAGUACGAGAGGACCGGAGUGGACGCAUCACUGGUGUUCGGGUUGUCAUGCCAAUGGCACUGCCCGGUAGCUAAAUGCGGAAGAGAUAAGUGCUGAAAGCAUCUAAGCACGAAACUUGCCCCGAGAUGAGUUCUCCCUGACUCCUUGAGAGUCCUGAAGGAACGUU
RNAcentral lists this ribosomal RNA (1568 nucleotides) under Escherichia coli. RNAcentral's name for it is "partial 23S ribosomal RNA". It matches the Rfam family "Bacterial large subunit ribosomal RNA", at positions 1291 to 2839 of the family's 2925-position model. Lineage: Bacteria; Pseudomonadati; Pseudomonadota; Gammaproteobacteria; Enterobacterales; Enterobacteriaceae. The record is from RNAcentral.